UCCAAGCGUUAUCCGGAAUCACUGGGCGUAAAGAGUGCGUAGGCGGGAGUCUAAGUGCAAUGCGAAAUCCUAUGGCUCAACCAUAUGGACUGUAGUGCAUACUGGACACCUAGAGGACGGCAGAGGCAAGUGGAAUUACUGGUGUAGCAGUGAAAUGCGUAGAUAUCAGUAGGAACACCAAUGGCGAAGGCAGCUUGCUGGGCCGACCCUGACGCUAAGGCACGAAAGCGUGGGGAGCGAACAGG
RNAcentral lists this ribosomal RNA (245 nucleotides) under uncultured Tindallia sp. RNAcentral's name for it is "partial 16S ribosomal RNA". It matches the Rfam family "Bacterial small subunit ribosomal RNA", at positions 533 to 776 of the family's 1533-position model. Lineage: Bacteria; Bacillati; Bacillota; Clostridia; Peptostreptococcales; Tindalliaceae. The record is from RNAcentral.